GAAAUGCGAUAAGUAAUGUGAAUUGCAGAAUUCCGUGAAUCAUUAAAUCUUUGAACGCACAUUGCGCUCCCGGGUACUCCCGAGAGCAUGUCUGUUUGAGAAUCAGUUUAACCUCUCACUCUUAUUUUUUUAUUAAAAUACAGAGUGGACUUGGGACUCUUUUUUGAAGCAAUUCAAAAAAAGACCUUUAAUCUAAAUUUGACCUUUAGACUUUGCUAAAUUUUAGCGCUUAACACCUAGAAGGCAUGACCAAUGGCAAAGAAGCAAUUCUUGACCUUUAGACUGCUGAUAAUGGGUUUAGUUAAUUUUUUACAGCAUAACUUGAAGAUUUCAACUACAAUUUUAAACACGGUUCUUUAAUUAAAACCAAGACUUUGAUCUCAAAUCAGACAAGACUACC
Molecule: unclassified non-coding RNA, 400 nt
Filed under: uncultured fungus
Lineage: Eukaryota; Fungi
Description: sequence contains ITS1
Rfam family: 5.8S ribosomal RNA (bases 1-105)
Source: RNAcentral